AUUUUCUCAGAACUGUGAGCUCUGCCAGGAGCAUGUUAUCUGGUCUGCUGAGUAAAUACUGGGUCACUAUAUACGUGACCAUUGCUGAGUCAAGAUGUAAUGUCUCACAAGCAAUGUGUUUGUUUUAACAGGGUUCGUCUUCAAGGUGUGAUUUUGGCAGAAAAAAUAAGGCAAGAAGGCCAACUGCCUACCGUCCCCGGGCUUUGAACGCUCCUGUGGGAGUUCAAGUAUCGUCCCAGGGCAGGCUGCAGGAAGAGCUCCCAGAAGCAUAAAUAGAGCACACGCCGAUAAUUGCCACCCGAAUAGUAAACAGACAAUACAGGGAUUAUUUCCUGACUUCCUAUGAUGUGAAAAGGAAAGGUGGAAGUUUUUGAGGACUUGGAAUAACAGGAACUUAACCAUUAAUUUUGGAGAAGGCAAUGGCACCCCAGUCCAGCACUCUUGCCUGGAAAAUCCCAUAGACGGAGGAGCCUGGGAGGCUGCAGCCUAUGAGGUCGCUAAGAUUCGGACUCGACUGAGCGACUUCACUUUCACUUUUCACUUUCAUGCAUUGGAGAAGGAAAUGGCAACCCACUCCAGUGUUCUUGCCUGGAGAAUCCCAGGGACGGGGGAGCCUGGUGGGCUGCCAUCUAUGGGGUCGCACAGAGUCGGAUACGACUGAAGUGACUUAGCAGCAGCAGCAGCAGCAACCAUUAAUUUAACAGGGCAUUUUAAUAUAAAAGUCAUUUAUAUACUAUAUAGUCAUACAUACAAAUUUAAGAAUUUAUUUCUGGACAGUGUCUUCAAAUAGCCUUCAAGAGGCACUACGGCACAGCAGUCUUGAGCAGUGGUUCUGAAUAAGACUGAUUCGGAUGGAACCUCAGCUCCAUCAUCUACAGAGGUGUGACCUUGAUCUCUGUGCCUCUGUUUAUUAUCUGUGGUGUUAGGAUAACACUGUUUGCUUUCUAGGUUGUUGAGAGGAUUAUGUAAGUUAAUACAUUUGAGCAACUAGGACAGUGCCUGGUACGUGGCAAAAACGUAGUAACUGUGGACUGAGGAGGAUCGUUGCCAUAACCUCCAGCAUUCAGGUCUCCCUAGCAAGGGCUUAGAACACACACGUCUAGAAGACAAUGAGGUUGGUUCCAGAGACACAGGCUGUUAGUCAACCCAGCUGAAACCAGCUUAGGCAAGGGGAAGUGACUGCCAUCAGCGCCCAAAUCAUGUCAAAGGUUUCUCUCCACCCCCCAACUCUGCCUCUCGUCUGCUCCCUCUUUCCUAGUUCUAGCAGUGGCCCGAAAGCUACACUGAUUUCAGAGUUUUCAUCAUUUUAGAAUAAACCCAGUGGAACACAAGCAAGCUGUAAAAGGCAUUUCCCACAACGAAUCUGCAUUUCACUGGUUAAGCAGUAUUGGUCACAUCCUAUCCUUGACCCAACCCCUAUGGCCAGGGGUGGAUGGCUGCCUUAAAGUGGUUUAGAGACUGAGGCUGAAGGAAGGGCAGAGGCUGACAUGAAAUUUAGGGCUGGUGAAGAAGGGAGGCUGGAUGUUGGCAAAACAAGUACCAAAUAUCCAUCAAAAGCCAAUGCAUCUUGGACAAUUGCCUAAAAUACCCUUGAUGUGAUUAAUGUGUUGAACUAAUUACAAGAAAAUUGUAUAGUAUGGAAGCACAGAUUUUAUUAUGGGCAAGUACUAGGAGAUGAUGUGCUUUGAGUUAUCAUGAUGCUGUUAAUGUCAGGCAUCUAGGCUAGUGAGUUCCUUAUGUUUGUUUGGAUGAGGUAAUAAUUGAGGGUAUGACCCAUCUUCAUUUUUUGCAUUGCAAAAUAUGGCUUCACGUUAGUGACAGAAUUGAAAGGCUAAUUUAGAUGAACCUCUAUGAAUGCUUCUUGUCUAAAAAGCAACUAAUAUCUUUUAAUUGUUCUUUUCAUUUAAGUGUGAUAGA
Molecule: long non-coding RNA, 1917 nt
Organism: Capra hircus (goat)
Lineage: Eukaryota; Metazoa; Chordata; Mammalia; Artiodactyla; Bovidae
Source: Ensembl